AUGAAGCUGGAAUUGCUAGUAAUGGCAGGUCAGCAUACUGCCGUGAAUACGUUCCCGGGCCCUUGUACACACCGCCCGUCACACCAUGAGAGUUGGAAAUACCCGAAGCCUGUGAGCUAACUUUUAGAGGCAGCAGUCGAAGGUAGAGCCAAUGAUUGGGGUGAAGUCGUAACAAGGUAAC
This 181-nucleotide ribosomal RNA is filed under the name uncultured bacterium. RNAcentral's name for it is "partial 16S ribosomal RNA". It matches the Rfam family "Bacterial small subunit ribosomal RNA", at positions 1320 to 1500 of the family's 1533-position model. The record is from RNAcentral.